AAAUUUUGCGGGCUUAACUGCAAGACUGCCUCUGAUACUGCUUGACUAGAGUUCAAUUGACGUUGCCGGAAUGUGAUGUGUAGCGGUGAAAUGCAUAGAUAUGUCACAGAACGCCUAUCGUGAAGACAGGUAACGAAAUUGAUACAGACGCUCAUGCACGAAAGCGUGGGGAUCAAACAGGAUUAGAUACCCUGGUAGUCCACGCUGUAAACGAUGAUCACUCGUUGUUGGGUAGCAAUACUCAGUGGCCAAGCGAAAGCGAUAAGUGAUCCACCUGGGGAGUACGAUCGCAGGGUUGAAACUCAAAGGAAUUGACGGGGGCCCGCACAAGCGGAGGAGCAUGUGGUUUAAUUCGAUGAUACGCGAGGAACCUUACCCGGGCUUGAAUUGCAGCGGAAUAUUGUGGAAACACAAUAGCCUUCGGGCCGCUGUGAAGGUGCUGCAUGGUUGUCGUCAGCUCGUGCCGUGAGGUGUUAGGUUAAGUCCUGCAACGAGCGCAACCCUUACACUUAGUUGCCAGCAUGUAACGAUGGGGACUCUAAGUGAACUGCCUACGCAAGUAGAGAGGAAGGUGGGGAUGACAUCAAAUCAGCACGGCCCUUAUGUUCGGGGCUACACACGUGCUACAAUGGUCGGUACAGAGGGCAGCUACCACGCGAGUGGAUGCCAAUCUCAAAAGCCGAUCUCAGUUCGGAUCGGAGUCUGUAACUCGACUCCGUGAAGUUGGAUUCGCUAGUAAUCGCACAUCAGCCAUGGUGCGGUGAAUACGUUCCCGGGCCUUGUACACACCGCCCGUCAAGCCAUGGAAGCCUGUGGUACCUAAAGUCCGUGCCCGAAAGGAGCGGCCUAGGGUAAAACCGGUAACUGGGGCU
Molecule: ribosomal RNA, 872 nt
Filed under: uncultured Bacteroidota bacterium
Lineage: Bacteria; Pseudomonadati; Bacteroidota
Description: bacterial SSU rRNA
Rfam family: Bacterial small subunit ribosomal RNA
Source: RNAcentral